GCUGGGCAUGGUAAUGCAAGCUUGUAAUCCUUGUGACUUGGGAGGCUGAGGCAGGAGGAUGGUGAGUUCAAAGCCAGGCUCGGCAACUUAGCAAGGCCCUAAGCAACUCAGCAAGACCCUGUCUCUA
This 127-nucleotide small RNA is filed under the name Marmota monax (woodchuck). The record is from RNAcentral. Lineage: Eukaryota; Metazoa; Chordata; Mammalia; Rodentia; Sciuridae.